Molecule: transfer RNA, 123 nt
Filed under: Candidatus Scalindua sp.
Lineage: Bacteria; Pseudomonadati; Planctomycetota; Candidatus Brocadiia; Candidatus Brocadiales; Candidatus Scalinduaceae
Description: tRNA-OTHER
Rfam family: tRNA
About the family: Transfer RNA (tRNA) molecules are approximately 80 nucleotides in length. Their secondary structure includes four short double-helical elements and three loops (D, anti-codon, and T loops).
Source: RNAcentral
GGUUAGGUGAUGUAAUUGGGAAACAUCUUCGCGUAGUAGGCUGUUCGACUCAGUAACACUUCAGUAGAUAUACUAUAUAGUGGACGCAUGGUGCGUAUGCAGGUUCGAGUCCUGUCCUAGCCA